Molecule: ribosomal RNA, 975 nt
Filed under: Triticum aestivum (bread wheat)
Lineage: Eukaryota; Viridiplantae; Streptophyta; Magnoliopsida; Poales; Poaceae
Description: partial small subunit ribosomal RNA
Source: RNAcentral
AUGGACGGUUUGCGCGAUAACUCCCGGCCGCCCUUUCGCGGCAUCGACAGCCCCUCGCCGUCCGAAUUCCGCGUGAGCUCCAGCCAGCGACGGCGCCGCUCCGCCUCUCGCAACGCUCCGCUGACACCUCCCAUGCACCGCACCAGCGGCCUAGUCCGUCACCACGCAGAGCCGCGCCGCAAGCACCACCACCGGCGUGAGCGCAGCCGCAGCCCUCGCCUUGAGUCGGCACGCAAAGCUGGCUCGCCAUCUGCCAAGUGGUCUCGGUUCGAAGACGGCUCUUCGAGCGCGCUGGCUCCGCCUCUGAUGGAUGAUGGCAGCACGACCCUUGACUGCCCUGACAGUCCCAUAUACUGUUACGAGGAUGAUCAGAGGAUAAGAUUUGGGCAAUACGGCGUCUCUGAUGGUCCAGGGAUCACUGACAGGGAACCAGACGGCAAACAGGAAGAUCAUUCAUAUAAUGCGCUGGUGGAUGACUUUAUGGGUGCUGUGGUGGAGAACUGGUGUGAGCCAGCCAACUUCGAUCAAGCAGCGCGUGAAGAGCGUUACCGAAAGCAGACGAAUCGAUUCGCUGAGUUAGCUCUGAAACGUUACAACAAAAACAAAAACAAUAAGGUUAAGUAUUCACUUGUUGAGGCAAUAGAUGGAGCAAUAUUUCAUGAGCGAUCUUACGAUUACGCCCAUGUGAACUUCUAUGCUAAUGCUAAGAAUGGCCCAAAGAAGAACGAUCCUAAAGUGCUUGUUUUUGCUGAGCUCAAACAUGUUGGACGGCGAGUUAACGCAAUGGCUCUCACGUCUUUCCAUUUUCUUGAUGAGAAGAAACAAACCACUGGACGUCGUGAUGUUGCUCGGAGCUCGCGCGUGAUUCGGGAGAUAUAUCAUUGCUAUGCUUGUACCAAUGAUAUGAAGCACCCCCAGGGAUCAAGCUAUAAGGCAGGCCACUUUGCUGCUGUAUCAUAUUACUUUGAGGAUUAG